UAGAGGAAGUAAAAGUCGUAACAAGGUUUUCCGUAGGUGAACCUGCGGAAGGAUCAUUACAGUAGUCGCCCGGGUUGCCGCAAGGCCUCCCGGGUAACCUACCACCCUUUGUUUAUUACACUUUGUUGCUUUGGCAGGCCUGCCCUCGGGCUGCUGGCUCCGGCCGGCGAGCGUCUGCCAGAGGACCUAAACUCUGUUUGUCUAUACUGUCUGAGUACUAUAUAAUAGUUAAAACUUUCAACAACGGAUCUCUUGGUUCUGGCAUCGAUGAAGAACGCAGCGAAAUGCGAUAAGUAAUGUGAAUUGCAGAAUUCAGUGAAUCAUCGAAUCUUUGAACGCACAUUGCGCCCCCUGGUAUUCCGGGGGGCAUGCCUGUCCGAGCGUCAUUACAACCCUCAAGCUCAGCUUGGUGUUGGGCCCCGCCGCCCCGGCGGGCCCUAAAGUCAGUGGCGGUGCCGUCCGGCUCCGAGCGUAGUAAUUCUUCUCGCUCUGGAGGCCCGGUCGUGUGCUCGCCAGCAACCCCCAAUUUUUUUCAGGUUGACCUCGGAUCAGGUAGGGAUACCCGCUGAACUUAAGCA
This 578-nucleotide ribosomal RNA is filed under the name Geomyces sp. 07MA09. RNAcentral's name for it is "eukaryotic LSU rRNA". The stretch from base 233 to 386 matches the Rfam family "5.8S ribosomal RNA". Lineage: Eukaryota; Fungi; Ascomycota; Leotiomycetes; Thelebolales; Pseudeurotiaceae. The record is from RNAcentral.